GACGAACGCUGGCGGCGUGCCUAAUACAUGCAAGUAGAACGCUGAAGGAGGAGCUUGCUUCUCUGGAUGAGUUGCGAACGGGUGAGUAACGCGUAGGUAACCUGCCUGGUAGCGGGGGAUAACUAUUGGAAACGAUAGCUAAUACCGCAUAACAGUAGAUAUCGCAUGAUAUCUACUUGAAAGGUGCAAUUGCAUCACUACCAGAUGGACCUGCGUUGUAUUAGCUAGUUGGUGAGGUAACGGCUCACCAAGGCGACGAUACAUAGCCGACCUGAGAGGGUGAUCGGCCACACUGGGACUGAGACACGGCCCAGACUCCUACGGGAGGCAGCAGUAGGGAAUCUUCGACAAUGGACGGAAGUCUGACCGAGCAACGCCGCGUGAGUGAAGAAGGUUUUCGGAUCGUAAAGCUCUGUUGUAAGAGAAGAACGAGUGUGAGAGUGGAAAGUUCACACUGUGACGGUAUCUUACCAGAAAGGGACGGCUAACUACGUG
RNAcentral lists this ribosomal RNA (495 nucleotides) under uncultured bacterium. RNAcentral describes it as "partial 16S ribosomal RNA". It matches the Rfam family "Bacterial small subunit ribosomal RNA", at positions 28 to 507 of the family's 1533-position model. The record is from RNAcentral.